Non-coding RNA from Schistosoma rodhaini, 45 nucleotides. Lineage: Eukaryota; Metazoa; Platyhelminthes; Trematoda; Strigeidida; Schistosomatidae. The record is from Rfam.
AUCCAGCUGACGAGUUCCAAAUAGGAAGAAACGUGCGUUCUACAU